ACGGGAGGCAGCAGUGGGGAAUAUUGGGCAAUGGAGGGAACUCUGACCCAGCAACGCCGCGUGAGUGAAGAAGGUUUUCGGAUUGUAAAACUCUUUAAGCGGGGACGAAGAAAGUGACUGUACCCGCAGAAUAAGCAUCGGCUAACUACGUGCCAGCAGCCGCGGUAAUACGUAGGAUGCAAGCGUUAUCCGGAAUGACUGGGCGUAAAGGGUGCGUAGGUGGUUUGCCAAGUUGGCAGCGUAAUUCCGUGGCUUAACCGCGGAACUACUGCCAAAACUGGUAGGCUUGAGUGCGGCAGGGGUAUGUGGAAUUCCUAGUGUAGCGGUGGAAUGCGUAGAUAUUAGGAGGAACACCGGUGGCGAAAGCGACAUACUGGGCCGUAACUGACACUGAGGCACGAAAGCGUGGGGAGCAAACAGGAUUAGAUACCCUGGUA
Molecule: ribosomal RNA, 437 nt
Filed under: uncultured bacterium
Lineage: Bacteria
Description: bacterial SSU rRNA
Rfam family: Bacterial small subunit ribosomal RNA
Source: RNAcentral